This 213-nucleotide long non-coding RNA is filed under the name Populus tremula. Its description in RNAcentral is "long non-coding RNA (PTRE_LNC000474)". Lineage: Eukaryota; Viridiplantae; Streptophyta; Magnoliopsida; Malpighiales; Salicaceae. The record is from RNAcentral.
CCUUUUUCUGGCCUUCUUAUUCACUGCCCCCCACCUCAUCCUUUCCAAAUCCAACACAACCUGACAAUCCAAUUCUCACUCGCCUCUCCCUCUCGCUCUCUCUCUAUAGCCCUCUCUUUCAGUAGUCUCUAGCUCUUAGUGCCCGUAAUAUUGUAUGCAUCAAGGUUCGACGAAUGAGAUUAAUGAUCAAGUGUUACUGAAGAGAUCAAGGGU